GGGCAAGUCUCAUACGACCAGCUCCUGUUGAAUCCCCCAGGAUGGGAACAUAGCAAGGGUAAAUGGUUGAGCGGUGCGAUAUGAGUAGCUUGCCCUUU
This 98-nucleotide signal recognition particle RNA is filed under the name Crocinitomicaceae bacterium. Its description in RNAcentral is "signal recognition particle sRNA small type". It matches the Rfam family "Bacteroidales small SRP". From Rfam's summary of the family: The non-coding component of the signal recognition particle in Bacteroides RNAcentral also lists the same sequence under 1 other name. Lineage: Bacteria; Pseudomonadati; Bacteroidota; Flavobacteriia; Flavobacteriales; Crocinitomicaceae. The record is from RNAcentral.